RNAcentral lists this ribosomal RNA (253 nucleotides) under uncultured bacterium. Its description in RNAcentral is "partial 16S ribosomal RNA". It matches the Rfam family "Archaeal small subunit ribosomal RNA", at positions 474 to 727 of the family's 1478-position model. The record is from RNAcentral.
UACCCGCAGCACAAGUGGUGGUCAUUAUUCUUGGGCCUAAAGCGUCCGUAGCUGGCUUGUUAGAUGCCUGGGUAAAUCGAUGCGCUUAACGCAUCGAAUUCCGGGUAGACCGGCAAGCUCGAGACCGGGAGAGGUGUAGGCUACUCGAGGGGUAGGGGUAAAAUGCUGUAAGCCUGCGGGGAGGACCAGUGGCGAAGGCGCUACACGAGAACGGCUCUGACAGUGAGGGACGAAGCCCUGGGGCGCAAACCGG